Molecule: long non-coding RNA, 10035 nt
Filed under: Marmota monax (woodchuck)
Lineage: Eukaryota; Metazoa; Chordata; Mammalia; Rodentia; Sciuridae
Source: RNAcentral
CUCCGACUCCCUGUCCAAGGAAGAACGCACGAGACACUGGCUGCAAAAGCAAGAGGCAGUUUAUUGGUACACAGGCGCCUGCGGGUGCGCAGCAGAACCUCAGCCGGAGCUUCGGUGAACUGGCACACCGGGCUUUGGGGCACAGAUCUUUUAUGGGGUAAAGGAGCAGGUUUCGUGCGCGCAGCAAGCAACAGGUUUCUUAUUGGUCAUUUUGAACCUAGCAUAUAGGUCACCUAAAGAGCAAGGUCGUUUUUCACUGUAUGUUCCUGGAAAACCCACGGUUUUACAUUCCAUUCUUUCUGUUCCUGCUUAUCUGUUCCGGUUUUCCCAAUCGUGUCCUGGGACACAAUUACCCGGUUCUGUUCCUGCUUAUCUGUUCCGGUUUGCCCGAUCGUGUCCUGGGACACAAUUACCCGGUUCUUUCCCAACCAUCCUGUUCUUUUCUAAUCGGUUACAUUUAACUGGUUAUAUGAAAAACACAUCUGGUGCCUGUUAACUGGUUAUCUGAAAAACACAUCUGGUGCCUGCGCAGGUUUGUAGCAUGCCCUGAUGAUUUUGUAACUGGGCCUAAAGUUAUUGGGCUGGGGUCUCUCAUUCCCCCCUUUUUCUUGAACAUGGAUAGAAUCUUAUAUCCAUCUGUCUGCUUGUUCGGGGUCUUGAACCAGGCUCGUCUGCGACCCUGUUUGUUGCUUAAGCAACUGGUAUUGUUGAGUUAGAACCAUAGUCUGGAUUAUGGAAAGUCUUUCUUUCAUGAACUGCACUAGUCUAUUAAGUAUACAAGGUCCAAAUGUCAGGAGUAACAGCAAAAUAACCAAAGGUCCUGCUAUGGUAGAUAGCAGAGUAGUUAACCAUGGGGAUUUACUAAACCAGUGUUCAAACCAUCCUUGUUGAGACUCAAAUUCUUUUUGUCUCUUGGCCAACCUUUCAGUGACCUUUUCCAUAGUUUCUCUGACUACUCCAGUAUGGUCAGCAUAGAAACAGCACUGUUCUUGAAGGGCUACACAAAGACCACCUUCUCUGAGGAACAACAGAUCUAAUCCUCUCCUAUUCUGCAGCACUACUUCCGAGAGGGAGGAGAGAGAUUUUUCUAGGGCUGUGAUAGACUUGGCCAUUGCAGUUAAAUCCUCGUUCAUUGCUGCCUGUAGUUGCAAUAAUUGGUUACCUUGCACUAGCGCAACAGUUCCUGUUCCUAUUCCGGCUGCUAUUCCUCCAAUUCCCAGUAGUAGAGCUAUGGUCAUGCUUAUGGGCUCUCUAGGGUACCUCUUCCGUCCCUCAAGGUGUUCUAGGACAUAGUCUGACCCUAGAUAUGAUAUCUUAGGCCAUAAUUGUAUUAAUACGCAAAAAUCAGUGGUUGCAUUGAGGACUGCCGUAGAAAUACAAGGGGUCAGUCCGGUAUUGCAGGCCCAGUAAGUUCCGUGGGGACCCCACAAAUAGUUAUUUUGUGAGCCUGUCACUGGGAGGGUAGUAUUACAGAGAUGUUGGUGUGAUAGGGGUACGUUCCCCAUACAGACCCCUUGUCCUGUUACUUCAGUGAUGGUAAGUUUAUAGCUUGGUAGGGAAACACACUUAGGGUCAGGGUUUGUGCUACUGUUCCAGUCAGACAUAAUUGCUAUCCCUUCAUAGUAAGGUGGGCCAGAGGUGAGACACAGCCAACAAUCUUGGGUGCGAUUUGGGCUGGUGGCGUUGAGGGCAUAAAAUGCUCCUUGAAUCAAAUUUAACAAUCGGUCUCCAGUCCCAGGGUGAAUGGGCUCAGGGGAAUAACUAGAGGUUUGAUAAUCCAUAGUUACAGUUUGAGGCAUGGGUGGCUUACUGGAGGGAACCUUCGGCUGCUUGGUAGUGAGGGGAUCUUUUGGUCUCCGAGUACGGAAUUAGGUCCUAUCGAGCUAAUUAUAGCUGGGGUUUGGGACAGUCUGAUGGUGAAAAUUACACCUGGAUCGUACCCAGUCAUAUACCAUCUGAGUCCCCAUGUUCUACCAGUAAGCCAGGGAUCGAUAGUCUCCUUGCCUUUGUCCGUGAAUUGUAUCUUAAGGGGCAAUUGGCAGGAGGAAGGGGGCCCGGUGUAAUUUUUGGACACCUGUAUCAGGUCCCAACUCGAGGUGGGGUUCCAGUAUGCAUCUCCGGUGGUUUCGCAGCCCCAGGAGGAGCAGUAGUAUGCUUCAGUGCCCCCACAUUUGAAUACUCGGGAUCUGUCUCGUCCGUCCCGGGGGCAGACAUAAAAAUCAGUUUGAGCUAGCUGGCACCCAGCAGAGCAGCCAUCCUGGAGCUUGUGGUGGCCUUGUUGGUAGGGCUCUAUCAGCUUACAAGAGUCAGGAAGGGUCAGGGUGGGCCACCAGGUGCCAGGGGUAUGGGUUGCUGUAAUUGACCAAAUUAUUUCCCCCGUUUGAGAGUAUACCUGCCAAAUCAACUUCAUGGGAACAUGGGGGUUAUUACCUAAGACAAGGGGAGCAAAACAAAGAGCAAAGACAGUUAACAGCGCGUAAGUCUUAUCUUUAGCGGGUUUUGAGUACGUUGUAACUUCCAUCCCGAAUCUUGAUGGGUGUCGGCUGAUUCUAACGGCUGAGCAGUCUUCACGUGGGAAGCGUGGAUUCAAGCAGCAAUGCCGUCCACCUUGAUGGCGGUGGGGGUGGUCAGCAGGACAGUGUAGGGUCCUUUCCACCGAGGUUCGAGGUUCUUGCUCUGAUGUCUGCGUACCCAGACGGUGUCCCCGAUUUUGAAGGAAUGUGGCACCGAAGGGGUUUUGAGUUCUUCUUUAUAUGCCGCUGCUAAUGGCUUCCAGACCUCGUUCUGGACCAAUUGUAGUGCGCGUAAAUGAGUCUGCACAGAUGGGGUGAGGGAGGCAGAAAUUUCAGUUUCAUAGAAAUUAACAGCAGGUGGUGGGGCACCAUAUAGGAUUUCAAAUGGGGUUAGUCCCUGAGGGCUAGGAGUAUUUCUGGCCCGAUAUAAAGCUGAGGGUAGGAGUUGUACCCAGUCUCUAGUGCCAGUUUCAAACGUUAAUUUAGUUAAAGUCUCCUUGAUUGUUCUAUUCAUUCUUUCUACUUGCCCUGAGCUUUGGGGUCUAUAUGCACAAUGUAACUUCCAAUUAAUCCCCAGCGAAUUGGCCACCGCCUGACUUACCUGGGAGACGAAGGCAGGCCCGUUAUCCGACCCAAUUGUUCCGGGUACCCCAUACCUUGGGAAAAUUUCUUCCAAUAGCUUCUUAGCAACGGUUUUGGCAGUUUCAUGCCGGGUGGGGAAUGCCUCUACCCAUCCGGAAAAAGUAUCAACAAAGACUAGAAGAUAUUUAUAUCCAUACAUACCAGGUUUGACUUCAGUGAAGUCUAUUUCCCAAUGUGUCCCGGGUUUAUGUCCUCGAACCCGGACUCCUGUUCCAAGUUUAACUUUACCAGCAUUUACCUGGGCACAUGCCUGACAAUUUUCUGCAACCCGCUGGAGGAGUCGAUCCCUAUUUGGAAGAUAUAGAGUACCCUCUCCACGGUCUAAGAGUUCUUUCAUCUUUUUAGCCCCAAGAUGUGUCAGUUUGUGUAAUGAUUUUACUAAUUCUUUAACAUUUUUAAGGGGCAUUAUGGUUUUUCCCUGAUAUUCCCAGGUAUGGUCCUCUGGGUUGUAAGAGGCGUCUAGCUUCUGUAUGAUAUCCAGAUCUUGGUCCUCAUAGACCCAUUUAUCCUCAUAGUCAUCAUGUUGUGGGUUAGCCCGUUGGGGCAACAAAGUCAUUACCAAGAGUUGAGGCCCCUGGGCUGCUUUUCUGCUGUCUCAUCCGCCAAUCUGUUUCCCCUGGCCUCCGGAGUAUCUCCUCUUUGAUGGCCAGGGCAAUGCAUGAUACUUAACUUUUUAGGCAGAAAUAGAGCUUUAAGUAAGGCCAAUAUUUCAGUCUUAUUUUUGAUUUCUUUCCCAUCUGAAGUUAGUAGCCCUCGCCGUCUGUAAUUUUCCCCGUGUAUAUGAGCAGUGGCAAAGGCAUAUCUACUGUCCGUAUACACAUUUAGCUUCUUUCCCUCAGCCAACUUUAGGCUUGUGUCAGAGCUAUUAGUUCUGCCCGCUGAGCUGAGGUUCCACCCGGCAAUGCACUCGUCCAGAUUACCUCAGAUUCGGUGGUGAUGGCUGCUCCUGCUCGCCGUUCCCCAUUGAGCAAAUAACUGCUCCCGUCGGUGUACCAGACCAGUUCUGCAUCUUUCAUAGGUUGGUCCGUGAGGUCUGGUCGGGUUCCUUGUGUUUCUGCAAGAAUCUGCUGGCAGUUGUGGGGAUUUGCUUUUCCAGGAAGCGGCAGGAGGGUUGCUGGGUUCAGUGUGACCAUGGGGCCGAACUGAAUCCGGUCCGUGUCCAGCAGCAAGGACUGGUAAUGGGUGAGUCGGGCGUUGGACACCCAGCGGUCAGGUGGUUGGCGAAUUAUUGCCUCGAUGGCAUGAGGGGUUAACAAAGUUAAUGGCUGUCCCAGAGUCAGCUUAGUGGCAUCCUUAAUUAGGAUAGCCACUGCUGCUAUCAUUCGAAGACAUGGUGGCCAUCCUGACGCCACUGGAUCCAAUUUCUUGGACAGAUAGGCUAUAGGACGCCUCCAGGGUCCCAGUUUUGGGGUUAGGACUCCUUUAGCAUAGCCCUGUUUUUCAUCCACAAACAAGUCAAAAGGCUUGGUAACGUCUGUCAGCCCCUAAGGCGGGGGCUGACAGAAGGGCCAAUUUGAUAUGAUCAAAUGCCAAUUGGUGCUCCUCAGUCCAGGUAAAGGGGUUGCUUUGUUUGGUUAGCAGGUAUAAGGGGGCCGCUAUCUCGGCAAACCCAGGAAUCCAAAGUCUGCAGAAACCUGCUGUGCCCAGAAAUUGCCGUAGUUGUUUAGGGUUCUGGGGAGUUGGUAUGCUCGAGAUAGUUUCUUUCCUGGCUGUGGUUAGCCAUCGUUGGCCAUUAUGAAGUUCAUAGCCAAGGUAAGUAACUUUUGUCUGACAGAUUUGUGCCUUUUUAGCCGAUGCCCUGUACCCCAACUGUCCCAAAGUUCGCAAUAAUGCCUCCGUACCUGUAAGGCAGUCCUCCUCGGUGGUAGCAGCCAACAGGAUGUCAUCUACAUAUUGGAGCAUAAUUAAGGAGGGGUGUCUUACGCGGAAAUCGGCCAGGUCCUGAUGUAAGGCUUCAUCGAAGAGCGUCGGGCUAUUCUUGAACCCUUGUGGCAGUCUGGUCCAGGUCAAUUGACCGGAGACCCCUUUGUCGGGAUCUUUCCAUUCAAAUGCAAAGAGAGCCUGGCUUUGAGGGCACAGUCUCAAACAGAAAAAGGCAUCUUUUACGUCUAGAACGGUGUACCAAGUAUGGGUGGGAGGCAAGGUGCUGAGGAGAUUGUAGGGGUUAGGCACCGUGGGGUGGAUGUCCUCUACCCUUUUGUUUACCUCUCUUAAGUCCUGGACAGGCCUAUAAUCAUUUGUCCCCGGCUUCUUAACUGGUAGCAAUGGGGUGUUCCAGGGCAAUCGGCAAGGGGUUAGAAUGCCUUGGUCUAGGAGGCGUUUGAUAUGUGGCCUGAUGCCUUGGUAAGCUUCUCUUGACAUGGGAUACUGUUAUUCACGGGAGUAGCAGUGGUUUUUAGGUGAAUGACUAUUGGAGGUUGUUGUUUAGCCAUUCCCAUUCCACCGGUUUCAGCCCAGGCCUCCGGGUAGGAUUCAAGCCAAUAAUUUAUGUCCUUAUCAGAUACAGGAGGUUUAUCAAAAAGUUUAUAUUCAUCUUCUAAUUUGAAAGUUAGUACAUGUAAGGGGGCCUGAUCUGGCCCCGUAACGGAGGCACUCCCAUUUUUAAAAUAGAUUUGAGCUCUCAACUUGGUUAAUAAGUCUCUUCCUAGUAGUGGAUACGGACAAUCAGGCACAUGCAGAAACGAAUGGGAAACUUUACCUGUAGCAAGGUGUACUUCCCUCUUGGUGGUCCAUCGGUACGGCUUGCUUCCAGUGGCGCCUUGGACCCACGUCGUUUUGUGGCUCAUGGGUCCUGGCGUUCGUGUUAACACCGAAUGUUGGGCUCCAGUAUCUACUAGGAAGGUUACAGGUUGCCCCCCUACUUGCAAAGUUACCCGGGGCUCAGGGGGGAGCUCCUGGCCCUGACUCCCCUAAUCUUCAUCCAGGGCUAGUAAUUGAGGGGUCCGGUUAGUACCUCUUCGGGUAUUGGGGGGUUUCUUUGGACAGUCCUUAACCCAAUGUCCUUUCUCCUUGCAGUAGGCACAUUGGUCUCGGUCUAUACGGGGUCUGCCUCGUUCCCUUUCCCUACCUGUUCUAUCUCCUCGUUGCCCUGCCUGAGUUACAGUGGCCAAUAUCUUACUUAAUUCUUUAUUACGCUUUCGAUCUUUUUCUCUUUCUCUCUUAUCUAACUCUUCUCUAAAUUUAAGAUCUCUUUCUUCCUGCAUUUUUCUGAUCCUUUCUUCCUUUUCCUCUGGGGUUUCUCUCUUAUUAAAAAUCUUUUCUGCUUCCUUCAAUAAGUCCGUUAAAGUGAAAUCUUGUAGGUUAUCUAAUCUUUGCAAUUUGGUCCUAAUGUCUGGAGCGGAUUGCCAAAUGAAAGCCAUGGAUAUGUUUCCCUUCUGAUCCUCACUAUCGGGGUCGAAAGGAGUGUAUCUCCGAUAGGCUUCUUUUAGUCUCUCUAGGAAUGCGGUCGGAGUUUCCUCUGAGCCCUGGGUGGUUUGUCUUACCUGAGCCAAAUUGGUGGGCCGUCACCCUGCUCCGUGGAGACCCGCUAUGAGUAACUGGCGACAGAGACGUAGGUGGUUCCUACCUGCAUCAGUAUUAUAAUCCCAAUCCGGUCGAAUUAAGGGAAAAGCUUCAUUGAUCAAAUUUGGGAGUUGGGUAGGGCGCCCAUCAUCUCCCGGCACAUUUUUACGGGCCUCUAAGAGAACUUUUUGUCUCUCCUCUGAAGUGAGAAGAGUCUGCAAAAGCUGCUGACAGUCAUCCCAUGUUGGUUGAUGAGUCACUAGAAUAGAUUCAAUCAGGGAAGUUAGGGCUACAGGGUCAUUGGUAAAGGAGGGAUUGUGGGUUUUCCAGUUAUAAAGAUCAGAGGCGGAGAAAGGCCAAUACUGAUAUUGGCCGUUAGGACCUCCCGUCUGCCGCAAGGGGAAGGCCCUUGAAGUAUCCCCUGGGGCGGCAGGUUCUCAGCGCCCACGAAGUCUUCCCACCAUGGGGGAUGGGCCCGGAGGGGCAUUGGUAGUUGGACCCUCUUGUUCUUCUUCUCCUGAAGAAACCUGGAUGGGAUCUGGAACUGGUAAAGGUUGGGGAUGGUAAGGUGGGGGUUCUUCAGUCAUUAGGUCUAUAAGAGUUGAAUCCUCUGGUGGUAAGACCUUCUUGGGUUUUGUCCCUGCUAGGGUCACGUUUUCGGGUUUAUCUAGAACAGGGUAAAGCCUAGAGGUUUGAGGAGGGGGUGCGGGUAUCAGGAUAAGUGGAGCAGAAGGUGGGGGUGGGGCUUCAAGGGGAGAAUGGGGAGGAAGCUUAGGUGGAGAGAAAGGGGCGACCCAAGGAGGCGGGUCGGAGGCCAGAUCUUCCCAGGUAACAAUGUAGGGCACUUGAUCGGGGUGUCCUUGAGGACCUUGGGUGAAAACCCGAGACUUCAUCUGUGAAAUAAGAUCAAGGUUAAAUGUCCCUUCUUUUGGCCAGCCAACAUCGAACGUUGGCCACUCCGUGGUGCAGAGUGUUAUCCAUCUUUUCUUUUUGAUUUCUACUGACCGGUUGUUAGCCCGGUUCCGGACGUCCUGCCAGUGAUCAAGAGUAAGACUCAAGGGAGUUGUUAUAGAUUGUCCCAUGUUAGCCUUAGAUGGUAUGAGAAAGUACAGAGACAAGGAGACAGAUACAAAAAUCAGGCUGGACACAAAGAACGCUGCACGGCCUCGGCACAAACUGAAAGUAUCUGAUGGAUUAGGGGGAGGAGGGACUCCGUCACCCACAAGAACAGUGUACUCUUCGGAAACACUAGAGGCCCCAAAAAAAUGGGCCUCCUGAAUCCCUGGGACGUCUCCCAGGGUGGCAGGGGAGAAGUCCGAGUUCGUCAACUCCUUCUCAAGCUGCCCAGAAAACAGAGUGACUAUGCGUAAUCGUACAGACGCCGAGCACAGACAGAUAACGACUGAAGACUGCAAACAUAGAACAAAAAAGAGACACAAAAUGACACGAGCUGGCCAGCUUACCUCCCAGUGGUUGCCGGGUGUUCCUUGGGCAGGGAUCCGGACGGGGGCGCAGGGGGAUCUCGGUGGAACCUCCAAAUGAAAGACCCUCCGACUCCCUGUCCAAGGAAGAACGCACGAGACACUGGCUGCAAAAGCAAGAGGCAGUUUAUUGGUACACAGGCGCCUGCGGGUGCGCAGCAGAACCUCAGCCGGAGCUUCGGUGAACUGGCACACCGGGCUUUGGGGCACAGAUCUUUUAUGGGGUAAAGGAGCAGGUUUCGUGCGCGCGGCAAGGAACAGGUUUCUUAUUGGUCAUUUUGAACCUAGCAUAUAGGUCACCUAAAGAGCAAGGUCGUUUUUCACUGUAUGUUCCUGGAAAACCCACGGUUUUACAUUCCAUUCUUUCUGUUCCUGCUUAUCUGUUCCGGUUUUCCCGAUCGUGUCCUGGGACACAAUUACCCGGUUCUUUCCCAACCAUCCUGUUCUUUCCUAAUCGGUUACAUUUAACUGGUUAUAUGAAAAACACAUCUGGUGCCUGUUAACUGGUUAUCUGAAAAACACAUCUGGUGCCUGCGCAGGUUUGUAGCAUGCCCUGAUGAUUUUGUAACUGGGCCUAAAGUUAUUGGGCUGGGGUCUCUCAUUUCCAUACAUAGCAAACAGCUAAACCUGUCACCAUCACUUCUACUUCAUAACAGCCUGUACCUGCUGUCUGCUAAGCUGUGAGGGCGAUUCAUAGGCCAGUAACACCCAGACCUGCUGUUAAGGAGUGGCUGCUGUGAAAUUCCCACUAAUACACAGUGGAACCAAACAGUGUUGGCCCAACUGGAUUGUGCAUGGUCAUUGUGGCCUCCUUGGCUGUUUUACCUUUUCCUUUUGUUUCUGAAUCCUCUUCUAUGUGCCUGUAAAGCCACCUGGGUCCUAUGCAGGGUCUCCAGCAGCACUGAGGCUUGCUGCUCAACCAGGUGGCUUGUACUUCCUUUCUUAUUCUCUUCCAGCAUGGAAGGCCCUAAAGAAUGGGACUUACUUAGAAUCCAAUUAUUUGAGGGGACUAGCAUGGAUUAUCACAUGACAAUUUGAAGCAUAUAAUACAUGUGAACAACUCUUGAAACUCGAAGCAAUGGGUCCACCAAUAUUUCUCUAACAGGAAUUAAGCAUUUGGAUUAUGACCUUGAAGGAAAUGUUACAAUAUUUUCCUCUGGUGCUGGGGAUUGAACCCAGGGGCAUUCUACUACUGAGCUACACCCCAGCCAUUUUUAAAAAUUAUGAGACAGGGUCUUGCUAAAUUGCCCAGGCUGGCUUCAAACUUGUGACCUUCUGCCUUAGCCUCCCAAGUAGCUGAGAUUACAGGUAUGUACCACUGUACCCAAAAGGAAUUGCUAUAGUUGUUAAUAGGGUAAGACUGAUCAAUAGAUACUGAAUACUCACUCCUGUAUGCAGCCCUCUACAAUGUCUGUGGCCUGGGAGAAAGAAAUGUAUUAGUUAGGCUACUUACAUAGCAAACAGCUAAAUGGUGUUUACAGCAACACUGAGCAGUUCCCAGCACCAAGGAAAGUGUUAGUCAAGUGCCUGUGGGAUGUCUCUAUUUGGCCAUCACAAGAGCACUCUCUCAUCAUGAGUGACACUACGGUCACCCAAGUCAGGGAUCUCAGGUUCUCCUUGACACGUGACCCAUACCCAGGCACUAUAUUCCAGAGGGGCACUUCUGUGACUCCUCAUGGACAUACAGGGUGAUCUUGCCCUCUUUUCCCUCCCCCACAUCCUUGCAGUAUUCUAACACUUUCUCUGUCCCCACUUUGCCCUAGUGUCCACCCCACAGCCACAAUGGGUUCUCUAAAAUGCAAAUAAAGCUCUUCAGUGAAUACUCAUUUCCCUGAAGAUAAAAGUUCAAAUACUUUAACAAGAUAUAUAAAGCUGCUGGGUGUGGUGGCACAUGCCUA